AAUCAAUAGUUCAUCUUUAUACCCCUUGACCAACAAUAACUUUCACCAUGUGUGCCGCAAAGGCUAAAGGCACCCAACAAUCAUAAAGACAAAUACAUUUACAACAACUUAGUCUUGAUGAUUGUACAAAUAACAAUGAUAUGAAGAAUGGACAAAAUAAGAAGAUAAAGAAUAAACAUUAGAGAUUUGCAAUUUAAUUUAUCCAGAGUCCAAAUUGUUAACACGAUAUUCAGAAAAUCAAUUAGAG
This 247-nucleotide long non-coding RNA is filed under the name Panax ginseng (ginseng). RNAcentral describes it as "long non-coding RNA (PGIN_LNC011076)". Lineage: Eukaryota; Viridiplantae; Streptophyta; Magnoliopsida; Apiales; Araliaceae. The record is from RNAcentral.